GAGUUUGAUCAUGGCUCAGAUUGAACGCUGGCGGCAGGCCUAACACAUGCAAGUCGAACGGUAGCACAGAGAGCUUGCUCUCGGGUGACGAGUGGCGGACGGGUGAGUAAUGUCUGGGAAACUGCCUGAUGGAGGGGGAUAACUACUGGAAACGGUAGCUAAUACCGCAUAACGUCGCAAGACCAAAGAGGGGGACCUUCGGGCCUCUUGCCAUCAGAUGUGCCCAGAUGGGAUUAGCUAGUAGGUGGGGUAACGGCUCACCUAGGCGACGAUCCCUAGCUGGUCUGAGAGGAUGACCAGCCACACUGGAACUGAGACACGGUCCAGACUCCUACGGGAGGCAGCAGUGGGGAAUAUUGCACAAUGGGCGCAAGCCUGAUGCAGCCAUGCCGCGUGUAUGAAGAAGGCCUUC
This 412-nucleotide ribosomal RNA is filed under the name uncultured Gammaproteobacteria bacterium. RNAcentral's name for it is "bacterial SSU rRNA". It matches the Rfam family "Bacterial small subunit ribosomal RNA", at positions 9 to 419 of the family's 1533-position model. Lineage: Bacteria; Pseudomonadati; Pseudomonadota; Gammaproteobacteria. The record is from RNAcentral.